CCUACGGGUGGCAGCAGUCGAGAAUCAUUCACAAUGGGGGAAACCCUGAUGGUGCGACGCCGCGUGGGGGAAUGAAGGUCUUCGGAUUGUAAACCCCUGUCAUGUGGGAGCAAAUUAAAAAGAUAGUACCACAAGAGGAAGAGACGGCUAACUCUGUGCCAGCAGCCGCGUUAAUACAGAGGGCUCAAGCGUUGUUCGGGAUCAAUGGGCGUAAAGCGUGUGUAGGCUGUUUUGUAAGUCGUGUGUGAAAGGCGCGGGCUUAACCCGCGGAAGGCACAUGAUACUGCAAGACUAGAGUAAUGACGAGGGAACCGGAAUAAGCGGAGUAGCAGUGAAAUGCGUAGAUAUAGAGUGGAACACUCGUGGCGAAGGCGGGUUACUGGACAGUGACUGACGCUGAGGCACGAAGGCCAGGGGAGCGAAAGGGAUUAGAUACCCUUGUAGUC
This 446-nucleotide ribosomal RNA is filed under the name uncultured bacterium. Its description in RNAcentral is "partial 16S ribosomal RNA". It matches the Rfam family "Bacterial small subunit ribosomal RNA", at positions 338 to 795 of the family's 1533-position model. The record is from RNAcentral.